Molecule: ribosomal RNA, 450 nt
Filed under: uncultured bacterium
Lineage: Bacteria
Description: partial 16S ribosomal RNA
Rfam family: Bacterial small subunit ribosomal RNA
Source: RNAcentral
GUAGGGAAUCUUCGGCAAUGGACGAAAGUCUGACCGAGCAACGCCGCGUGAGUGAAGAAGGUUUUCGGAUCGUAAAACUCUGUUGGUAGAGAAGAACGUUGGUGAGAGUGGAAAGCUCAUCAAGUGACGGUAACUACCCAGAAAGGGACGGCUAACUACGUGCCAGCAGCCGCGGUAAUACGUAGGUCCCGAGUGUUGUCCGGAUUUAUUGGGCGUAAAGCGAGCGCAGGUGGUUUCUUAAGUCUGAUGUAAAAGGCAGUGGCUCAACCAUUGUGUGCAUUGGAAACUGGGAGACUUGAGUGCAGGAGAGGAGAGUGGAAUUCCAUGUGUAGCGGUGAAAUGCGUAGAUAUAUGGAGGAACACCGGUGGCGAAAGCGGCUCUCUGGCCUGUAACUGACACUGAGGCUCGAAAGCGUGGGGAGCAAACAGGAUUAGAUACCCGAGUAGUCC